AGGGCUGCUCUUUGUUCGUGGCGCGUGAAAGCCACGCGAGGAUUUCCCUUGCCCGCCCGCCAAGGCGCUCGUGCUCUGAAUGAAGGGCGCCUCGUCGUGCCCACGCAAGUCCUGCAUCUCUGAAGGAUCUCCCCGAACCGGUUCACAUGCUGCCUUCCGUCCUUCCUUCCUUUUUAUUUAUUUAUUUAUUCCGUUUCUUACCCGCCCUUCACGAUAACGCCUCAGGGCGGGUUGCAGCACCCACGGACUUGAACGAGCUGUAUUGUCCAUAAUGUUCCAGUUCUUCGAUAUCCAGAAAGGAAAACCUCUUUGCAAUCCCGUUAUCUGCUUCGGCUCAGAGCAUAAAGGGCACCCAAAUAUUAGCCAGGAAACAAUGGAGUUCAGUGUCUGUGACUUUGUCUGAGAGGCUGCCCAACUGCAAGAGUACACCACACUGGGGCAUGACUGGACGAUGGCCAGAUGUCAAUCUUCACCUCACAGAGUCCGGCAUUAGAUUGAAAACACCCGAUUCAGAUGAAGGAUCUCUCAGGUUCCUGUCACCAUCAGUGAGAUCAUCGUCUUCCAACUGAAGCAGGAGUGGAGUU
Molecule: long non-coding RNA, 584 nt
Organism: Podarcis muralis (Common wall lizard)
Lineage: Eukaryota; Metazoa; Chordata; Lepidosauria; Squamata; Lacertidae
Source: RefSeq, a predicted model, not a curated record